Molecule: long non-coding RNA, 385 nt
Filed under: Eucalyptus grandis
Lineage: Eukaryota; Viridiplantae; Streptophyta; Magnoliopsida; Myrtales; Myrtaceae
Description: long non-coding RNA (EGRA_LNC001929)
Source: RNAcentral
GGGGCUUGCUGUCGAGCACCGAGGAGACGCGAGCAACAGCAAUGUGGGCUCUGGCGGCGUCGGGUCGCGGGUCGCGAGGGCGGUCUGCUGGCGUCGGUGAACUAACUGCAGUGGCGAUCGGUGGCCGGCGCAACGGUGGCAGAGGCGCAGUGGAGGAGGCGUGGUGGAGGCUGGCGUCGCGGUGCUGGGCAAAGGAGCAGGCCAUCAGACGGAGAUGUGGGCGCGAUCGGUCGUCACUCGGGCGUGUGGGAGCUCGGAUCUGGUUCGAGUCCGGUCUCGGCAGAGCUUCGGUGGGCCGAAGGGUGCGGCCGAGGUGGGUCGCAGACUAUCGGCGUUGCAGAGGGGCGAGAUUGGAGCGGCGCGGGGGGUGCGGGAUCGCAGCUUG